AAUUGCGACCCCAGGUCAGGUGGGAUUACCCGCUGAGUUUAAGCAUAUCAAUAAGCGGAGGAAAGAAACUUACAAGGAUUCCCCUAGUAACGGCGAGCGAACCGGGAAU
This 109-nucleotide ribosomal RNA is filed under the name Erica tysonii. RNAcentral describes it as "partial 28S ribosomal RNA". It matches the Rfam family "Eukaryotic large subunit ribosomal RNA", at positions 1 to 105 of the family's 3401-position model. The record is from RNAcentral. Lineage: Eukaryota; Viridiplantae; Streptophyta; Magnoliopsida; Ericales; Ericaceae.